AGUGGUUCUUGGGUGACCCACCCCGGAAUCAGGCUCACUCCUCUCUGGUUCCUGGUGCAUCACCCGAGAACAACA
Myotis brandtii (Brandt's bat) is the source of this 75-nucleotide non-coding RNA. The record is from Rfam. NCBI's taxonomy places the organism in Eukaryota, Metazoa, Chordata, Mammalia, Chiroptera, Vespertilionidae.